GGGAUUGUUGUUGUCCUUCGAAUUCUAAAUUAAAAUAAUCAGCGCCAGUUUUCCUAAGAGUUAUUUCUCAAGGAAUUUCCAUGAGUGAAAUCCGAGUUUAAAAAUAACUCACCGAAUCAGACAAAAGAGACUAAAGGAGAAGCUUCAUAUCUCUAGACACAUGGGAAAACCAACACAUUCAAGAGAGCAAGUCAACUGAACAUGCUUGCAAAGUAAGAGGCUAAGUUUGAGAGGGGGGUGUGUGUGUGUGUGUGUGUGUGUGUGUGUGUGUGUGUGUAGAACAGGAGGAAACUGAAGUUCAUAUUUUGAGAGCAAUGCUGAUUCCUGCUGAUAGCUAAAGAAAUAGGUCACUUGAUCCUACCGGGUCCCAAUACUGCGAGCUAAAAAAAUAAUAUUUAGGGUUUCUUCCAGAUCUGACGUUACCAGGGGCAUUAACUUAUUUUAAUGUGAUUGUGUCCCCAUUACUCGCUGCACUCGUGUCUGCCCAGGAUUCAGGGAUAAAUAACUAGCGGGUCAUUGGCCUUCAGGCAAUUUCACUCCAGGGAGGAAGAGCCUACUUACAAGUUCUCUUCUCAAAUCGCAGGUGGAUUGUGGUUGGUUGUAUUCCAGAUGCACCAACCAGGAAAGGAGCCAGCCAGGAUGAGCAGACAGGGGUUAGACGUUUUUGUCAACAAUUAUGUUCUUUAUUAAGCUGUUGAUUCUAAAAUUUGUACAGAAAAUUUACACAUGAGGGACAAUGAGAGGCUGAAGACAGGAAGGUAAGAUCUUCUGUGACUGUUCCUACUACCUCUAUAAAGAAGAUGCCAGUGUCACCUGCUAAGGAGAAAGGACUUUUCUUUUUUC
RNAcentral lists this long non-coding RNA (843 nucleotides) under Sus scrofa (pig). RNAcentral's name for it is "lncRNA (ENSSSCG00015006303.1)". The record is from RNAcentral. Lineage: Eukaryota; Metazoa; Chordata; Mammalia; Artiodactyla; Suidae.